Molecule: ribosomal RNA, 783 nt
Filed under: uncultured Neocallimastigales
Lineage: Eukaryota; Fungi; Neocallimastigomycota; Neocallimastigomycetes; Neocallimastigales
Description: partial large subunit ribosomal RNA
Rfam family: Eukaryotic large subunit ribosomal RNA
Source: RNAcentral
CGCAUCUGUGCAUGCAGCAUAUCAAUAAGCGGAGGAAAAGAAACUAACAAGGAUUCCCCUAGUAACGGCGAGUGAAGCGGGAAGAGCUCAAAUUUGGAAUCUUAAAGGGUUUCCCUUUACGAAUUGUAGUUUAAAGAAGUGUUUUCUGUUGAGGUUUUGGUAAAAGUUCUUUGGAAUAGGACAUCAUAGAGGGUGAGAAUCCCGUAUUUGACCUUUACUUUCAACUUUGCGAUACACUUUCAAAGAGUCGGAUUGUUUGGGAAUGCAGUCCAAAAUGGGUGGUAAAUUUCAUCUAAAGCUAAAUAUUGGCGAGAGACCGAUAGCGAACGAGUACCGUGAGGGAAAGAUGAAAAGAACUUUGAAAAGAGAGUUAAACAGUACGUGAAAUUGCCAAAAGGGAAGCGUUUGACACCAGUGUUGUUUUUCUGAAAAUCAAUUAAAGAACUGUUUAUGCUAAGUUGUUUAGACUUUAUCAGCUAACUGUUUAGUUUUGAGCUUUUCCUUAAUGCACUUUUCAGUUUAACAAGUCAACAUCAAUUUCUUUUGUUGUAAAAAGGUCAUUGAGGAAGGUGGCUUGCGCUUCGUAUAAGUGUUUAUAGCCUCUUGAUCUCUGCAGUCGGAGAGACUGAGGUCUGCAGCGUAGAUCCUUCGGGGUUAAAUACAUUUGUGCUAAGCUAGCUAGCUUUUCAUAGACAACUUGUUAACUAUGUUUAGUCAUUGGGACUUACCUCGCUUAGUGCUAGUUUUACCUACGCUUAGGAUGUUGAUAUGCAUGACUGAUAU